UAGGGCGCAAGCGUUAUCCGGAAUUAUUGGGCGUAAAGAGCUCGUAGGCGGUUUGUCGCGUCUGCCGUGAAAGUCCGGGGCUCAACUCCGGAUCUGCGGUGGGUACGGGCAGACUAGAGUGAUGUAGGGGAGACUGGAAUUCCUGGUGUAGCGGUGAAAUGCGCAGAUAUCAGGAGGAACACCGAUGGCGAAGGCAGGUCUCUGGGCAUUAACUGACGCUGAGGAGCGAAAGCAUGGGGAGCGAACAGG
Molecule: ribosomal RNA, 249 nt
Filed under: uncultured bacterium
Lineage: Bacteria
Description: partial 16S ribosomal RNA
Rfam family: Bacterial small subunit ribosomal RNA
Source: RNAcentral